Molecule: long non-coding RNA, 482 nt
Organism: Eptesicus fuscus (big brown bat)
Lineage: Eukaryota; Metazoa; Chordata; Mammalia; Chiroptera; Vespertilionidae
Exons: 3
Source: RefSeq, a predicted model, not a curated record
GGCAGUGGCCCCACCGGCACCGGGGAGUCCGUACCCCCUCCCUGUUCUGGGGUCCUGGCGACCCACCCCAGUCCGGAGACACCCUCCCGAGGCCCCAUCGCGUCCUGAGGCGCCUCAGGCCUUGUUUUUGUCGUCGCUGCUUGAUCUGGGCUGGCCUGUGACCUGAAGCGCCAUUGAAGUUCUUCCGGGAGCUGGGUUUGUGCCGCCCCCUCGCUUCCUAAGCUCCUGGGGGCAGUGGCCCCACCGGCACCGGAGAGUCCAUACCCUCUCCCUGUUCUGGGGUCCUGGCGACCCACCCCAGUCCGGAGACACCCUCCCGAGGCCCCAUCGCGUCCUGAGGCGCCUCAGGCCUUGUUUUUGUCGUCGCUGCUUGAUCUGGGCUGGCCUGUGACCUGAAGGUCUCAAUGUCGCUAAUUGAACCUGCUGACAUUUUUGGAGCAAAGAGACCUGGGAUGUGAAGGGACAGGAGACAUCUACCCAGG